GAUGAAGAACGUAGCGAAAUGCGAUAAGUAGUGUGAAUUGCAGAAUUCAGUGAAUCAUCGAAUCUUUGAACGCACAUUGCGCCCCUUGGUAUUCCAUGGGGCAUGCCUGUUCGAGCGUCAUUUGUACCUUCAAGCUCUGCUUGGUGUUGGGUGUUUGUCUCGCCUCUGCGUGUAGACUCGCCUUAAAACAAUUGGCAGCCGGCGUAUUGAUUUCGGAGCGCAGUACAUCUCGCGCUUUGCACUCAUAACGACGACGUCCAAAAGUACAUUUUUACACUCUUGACCUCGAAUCAGGUAGGGAUACCCGCUGAACUUAAGCAUAUCAAUAAGCGGAGGA
Molecule: unclassified non-coding RNA, 337 nt
Filed under: soil metagenome
Description: partial contains 5.8S ribosomal RNA, internal transcribed spacer 2, and large subunit ribosomal RNA
Rfam family: 5.8S ribosomal RNA (bases 1-120)
Source: RNAcentral